RNAcentral lists this ribosomal RNA (292 nucleotides) under Glomus sp. (unid). The record is from RNAcentral. Lineage: Eukaryota; Fungi; Glomeromycota; Glomeromycetes; Glomerales; Glomeraceae.
CAGUCGUACUUGCGGAUAAUCAACCUUUAGAUGCGAUUUUGUGGAGCGUCAAGAGUUAAACGCCUUCAUGCCUGCAUAUUCGUAUACUUUGGGUGUACUUAUUCGUGUGGUAAGUUAACAUCAAUUUUGGUGAUCAUAAAAUGACUAGAGGAAUGUAGCUUCGAUCUCGUAUUGAAGUGUUAUAGCCUUUGGUAGAUGCGGUGACCGAAACUGAGGAUUGCAACGAUACCCUCUGGGCUAUCCGUCUGACCUCUGAAACGUUGCUUAGGUACCGAAAGCGUGCUUACGGUCA